UGGGGAAUCUUGCGCAAUGGACGAAAGUCUGACGCAGCCACGCCGCGUGAGUGAAGAAGGCCUUCGGGUUGUAAAGCUCUGUCGAGCGGGACGAAAAACGGUGAGGUUAAUAGCCUCAUUGUCUGACGGUACCGCUAAAGGAAGCACCGGCUAACUCCGUGCCAGCAGCCGCGGUAAUACGGAGGGUGCAAGCGUUGCUCGGAAUUAUUGGGCGUAAAGGGUAGGUAGGUGGUCUCAUUUGUCUGGGGUGAAAGCCUUGAGCUUAACUCAAGAAGUGCCCCAGAAACGGUGAGACUAGAGUCCUGGAGAGGGUCGUGGAAUUCCCGGUGUAGCGGUGAAAUGCGUAGAGAUCGGGAGGAACACCAGAGGCGAAGGCGGCGACCUGGACAGGUACUGACACUCAACUACGAAAGCGCGGGGAGCAAACAG
This 429-nucleotide ribosomal RNA is filed under the name uncultured bacterium. RNAcentral describes it as "bacterial SSU rRNA". It matches the Rfam family "Bacterial small subunit ribosomal RNA", at positions 355 to 775 of the family's 1533-position model. The record is from RNAcentral.